UUCUAUAUUCUUCUAUUGGAGAAUUUAUACAUAGAUGUAGUAAUUGCUAUUUUUUUAUGAAGUCCUUACUAUGUGGCAGGCACUGUGCUGACUGGUUUACGCAAACAUUCUUUACUAAUCUCACAACAAACCUGUGAUUGAUGGAAUUACUGUCCCUAUUUUACAGAUAUGGAGACCAGGACUUGGAGAGGCUAAGAAAUACCUUCAAGAUCAAAUAAGGACAGUGACAAGAUUCAUACCCAUCUGCCUGAGUCUUAAGCAUUUUGCUACUUUGAACCUAGGUCCAUCCUGCUCAUCUUUAGAGCCUCGCUGUUCUUUAUCCCCGGUAGCCAGCAGGGUACUGAGCCCUUGGGUUGAGUAUUGAAUCACCCCUAAAAGUUCUCUGAACAGACAUUGAGGAUGCAAUAAAUUGACUGGAACAGUGCUUGGCACUUGAUCUCAGCCACAGACCUUGUGCUCCCAACCCAUGGGCUUCCCAGAGAGACCGCAGAUUGGCUGCCAACACCCUGAAGACAGCAAGGCUGCCCAGUCCCCCAAGGCCUGCCAAGGACAGAUUCUACCUGCAACGUGGACCCAGAGAGUCAUUCUCGAACAAAGGAACCCCAGAGGCCUGAACUUACUCAGAAUUGACUUCUGCGUCCUUCUAUUAUUGGGACUGACAUUUGAAGUAGGUUGAAGCCAUACAAUUUUGCUAUUUAGAGGAUUCAGCUUAAGGUAACGGUCAAGUUGAAUAAUUCAAGAUCAAAGGGUUUGGGGCUUCCCUGGCGGUACAACAGUUAAGAAUCCACCUGCCAGUGAAGAGGAAAUGAUUUUGAUCCCUGGCCCGGGAAGAUUCCACCUACCACCUGGCAACUAAGCCAAUGCGGAACAACCACUGAUUCUGAUGCUGCAGCUACUGGAGCCUGCGUGCCUACAGUGUGGUCUGCAGCAAGAGAAGCCACCGCAAGAGAAGCCCGUGCUCGGCAAUGAGGAGUAGCCUCUGCUCACUGCAACUAGAGAGAGCCUGCCUGUAGCAGUGAAGACCCAGUGCAACCAAAAAGAAAUAAACAAAUUUUUAAAAAAGAAAAACCA
This 1071-nucleotide long non-coding RNA is filed under the name Bos indicus x Bos taurus (hybrid cattle). RNAcentral's name for it is "lncRNA (ENSBIXG00005012878.1)". Lineage: Eukaryota; Metazoa; Chordata; Mammalia; Artiodactyla; Bovidae. The record is from RNAcentral.